Molecule: ribosomal RNA, 481 nt
Filed under: uncultured bacterium
Lineage: Bacteria
Description: bacterial SSU rRNA
Rfam family: Bacterial small subunit ribosomal RNA
Source: RNAcentral
AGAGUUUGAUCAUGGCUCAGAUUGAACGCUGGUGGUAUGCUUAACACAUGCAAGUCGAACGGUAACAUUGGAGCUUGCUCCAGAUGACGAGUGGCGGACGGGUGAGUAACGCGUAGGAAUCUGCCUAGUAGUGGGGGACAACAUGUGGAAACGCAUGCUAAUACCGCAUACGCCCUACGGGGGAAAGCGGGGGAUCUUCGGACCUCGCGCUAUUAGAUGAGCCUGCGUUAGAUUAGCUUGUUGGUGGGGUAAUGGCCUACCAAGGCGACGAUCUAUAGCUGGUCUGAGAGGACGAUCAGCCACACUGGGACUGAGACACGGCCCAGACUCCUACGGGAGGCAGCAGUGGGGAAUAUUGGACAAUGGGCGCAAGCCUGAUCCAKCAAUACCACGUGUGUGAAGAAGGCCUGAGGGUUAURAAGCACUUUCAAUUGGGAGGAAAACAGCUGGGUUAAUAGCCCUGCUCUUGACAUUACCUUUA